AGAACGAACGCUGGCGGCAGGCCUCAAACAUGCAAGUCUAGGGGGUGUAGCAAUACAUCACCGGCGGACGGGUGCGUAACACGUGGGAAUAUACCUUUUGGUUCGGAACAACGCAGGGAAAUUUGCGCUAAUACCGAAUGUGCCCUUACGGGGAAAGAUUUAUCGCCAAAGGAUUAGCCCGCGUAGGAUUAGCUAGUUGGUGAGGUAAUGGCUCACCAAGGCUCCGAUCCUUAGCUGUUCUGAGAGGAAGAUCAGCCACACUGGGACUGAGACACGGCCCAGACUCCUACGGGAGGCAGCAGUUGGGAAUCUUGGACAAUGGGGGAAACCCUGAUCCAGCCAUGCCGCGUGAGUGAUGAAGGCCUUCGGGUUGUAAAACUCUUUCGACGGGGACGAUAAUGACGGUACCGUAGAAGAAGCUCCGGCUAACUCGUGCCAGCAGCCGC
Molecule: ribosomal RNA, 446 nt
Filed under: uncultured bacterium
Lineage: Bacteria
Description: SSU rRNA
Rfam family: Bacterial small subunit ribosomal RNA
Source: RNAcentral